This 1824-nucleotide long non-coding RNA is filed under the name Limulus polyphemus (Atlantic horseshoe crab). RNAcentral describes it as "uncharacterized LOC111085721". Lineage: Eukaryota; Metazoa; Arthropoda; Merostomata; Xiphosura; Limulidae. The record is from RNAcentral.
UUUAUGAACAUUUUGUUUAUAAUCUUAAUGUUGAAUUGUUCUCCACAGUCACUAGGUUAAAACUGAUGACUUAACGGUCUAAGACUAUAAGUAACACUUGCAUAAAAAAUGAGUAUAAUGAUCAGUUUGCUGGUAAAUACUGUUAGAUGUCUCUAGUAAAUAAACACAUUUACUUACUGUGAUAAAACUAGUAGCUUACAGUGAGCGAACAUCGAUUAUUCGAAUAUAAAACGUGAAUAUUUUAAUAAGUAAAAGUAAAAUGUAUUGAACAAAGUAGCCUACUAGUAAGAAAUGCUUACAAAGCCUAAAUCUCUCAUAUUAUCUAUCAUAUAUUAAAAUCAAUGAAUCAUUAAUAAAACGUAUGACAGUUGACUUUGUUAAAAAGUACCUUUCAUCUGAUUAACCCGAGUUGCUUGUGAGUAAGAUUCGUGAAUAGUUGACAAGUUAAUAUUGUUGUUUUAUGAGUGUGUCCAUGUGUGUGUGUGUGAAAAGAGACACUGCAAGAUAUCGUUUCCCUGUAAAACCUAAAACAUUUUCUUUCGCUAGAAAUUAUUCACAUUUUCCAUUACUAUAUCCUGAACACAGUGGCUAGCUGUUCUCACUGUAAUACUUCAGAGUAUACCACUUACAAACUACAGCGAGGUAUCGUUGGCCACAAACAAUUGUAAGGGAAAGUUAAUGGCAUACCAAGAGAACAUUCAAUAAAAUAUGUGAUUUCACUGACACCUACAGGCAUUCAAGAAGCUUCAAUAAAGUUUUCGUCGAUAAAGAUUGUAUUUCUAUAGUGAAAUGCAGAGGCUUUAUGACCAAUAGUAUGGUAUUAUAAACCCUUCAGUAUGUUGUUGUUGUUGCAGAGGCAAAACAUAUAGUAAACAAAGGAUUAUCAGCUCAUCACGUUUUCUUUUGUUUGUUUUUUCUGGACGAGUUGUCUCUGCCCAUCUGUCAAUUAAAAUCGUAUUUUGUUAUGAGGUGAUAUUUGAUACAUUUCACGUUUCACAUAUGACGUUAACGUGUUUUCUUUUUUUAAUUCUCGUUCACCACUAUAACAAAUAGUUGGUGUAGUUUAGGCCAGGCCACAAUGGCUGCUAGUUCCCAUAGUCCGGUCCCUGCUCUAAUAACUAGGUUUUUCUUGUGGAAAAAUACAAGUAAGUGUCCUGUUUUGUAUUCAUACCUGAAGGUGUCACUUUUUUGUCAAGUCCACAGACUCGGAGAGAACAGUAUUUUUUGGUGAACCAAACCUGCGUGGUUGGUGAAUGUCACGAGGGUAUAAUGAUUUGUGUGUGUGUGUGUUAUCUCGAGUACCGUCCAUACAUACAUCCAUUCGUGCAGUUUACAGAAAAACUGAAUUAUGUAAUAUUAGUUACAGUCGUCAGGGACGCAGGGGUUUAUGGAAAUCUUCUAACAUUUCAGUGUAAUAUGGCCAUAACAUAAUUCUAUAGCUGUGAUAACUCUUAAAAGAGCUUAAUAUAGGAAAACUCGACAUAUCGGAUUGCGCAUGUCAACAAAGUGCCUGCCUUCAUCCUUUUUCAUUCCACUUUCAUGGUUCUUCCAGCUUGUGCACAGGGUCUAAAAACAGUCCAUUACUCAGAUCUUCACUAUAUACCUGUAAGCCUCUGCCUAUCGCCAUUAUGACUGUUUAAGUUGAAGGACAUUGUUUCUAAUGAAUGGUGUGUGGAAGCAGGGAUCUUGCAGUGUCUCCACUCAUAGGUAUAUUUAUUUUAAUUCACACUUUGAUAAACUCUCGUUUUUGAUGUAUUACUCCAGUUUGGUUCUUGUACACUUAUCCCUGUGAAUAAGUUUGCCAAAUAAAAUGUUUAAAAUUAA